UCCCUACGGGGGGCAGCAGUCGGGAAUAUUGCGCAAUGGAGGAAACUCUGACGCAGUGACGCCGCGUGCAGGAAGAAGGUUUUCGGAUUGCAAACUGCUUUAGACAGGGAAGAAACAAGACAGUACCUGUAGAAUAAGCUCCGGCUAACUACGUGCCAGCAGCCGCGGUAAUACGUAGGGAGCAAGCGUUAUCCGGAUUUAUUGGGUGUAAAGGGAGCGUAGACGGCAGGGCAAGUCUGGAGUGAAAGCCCGGGGCCCAACCCCGGGACUGCUUUGGAAACUGCCAUGCUGGAGUGCUGGAGAGG
RNAcentral lists this ribosomal RNA (305 nucleotides) under uncultured bacterium. RNAcentral describes it as "bacterial SSU rRNA". It matches the Rfam family "Bacterial small subunit ribosomal RNA", at positions 335 to 657 of the family's 1533-position model. The record is from RNAcentral.